Molecule: non-coding RNA, 688 nt
Organism: Paramuricea clavata
Lineage: Eukaryota; Metazoa; Cnidaria; Anthozoa; Malacalcyonacea; Plexauridae
Source: the annotation of a GenBank genome assembly
CUUAAAAUGAAGUCCGUUCCCAGGCGGACGGGGAAUUAAAAUGCGUUCGCGGGAUUUGGGACUGGUCACGUGACCUACAGACCCAUAGAAAAUUGAUUAGGGGCCAACCAUUUAACUUUUGAGGGGGGGGGAUUUAUUGCUGGCAGGGAAUUUUUUUCUGGGAUCGUUGUGUGCAAGAUAUUUUUUUCCUGUCCCAUCAUCAUCUACGAUUUUUUCCCCACUCUGUAGCUCUUUUGCAACCUUUUUUUUCAAUAGCUAAUAAUAUUUAGAUUCUUUAAUGAUAGUCAACGCUGAGGUUUUUAGCUUCAUACAUUGUUUUUAAUGAUACAUAUUGCUACGAGGUAUUGGUAUAACAUUUGGUUCAGGGCCUCAUUUAAGGAUGUGUAACUGGAGACGACCGCAUAUUUAGCGGGGACCUGGAAAAGUUCCAGUCGGCAAGUCUGUAUCGGCCUGUAUCACUACAGCUACCAGCAUAUAUAUGCAUGGUUUAACCAAUAAGUAUACGUCAUAGAGCAGCAAAUCAGGCUAUAACUAGUAUUCUGAGACAAUCGAAGGUGCGAGCCUCUGGGGGCAUGGGGUCUGGCGGACAUGCCCGCCAGAAAAUUUUGGAUUUCUUGAAGCUCGGAUAAGCAAUUUCCAGCAUUUUGAGGAGUUUCCAAUAAGAAAUUAACCUUGCACUAGUCCCUGA